CUGCUCAGUAACACGUGGAUAACUGCCCUAAGGAAGGGGAUAACCCCGGGAAACUGGGGAUAAUACCCUAUAGGUUACAGAUGCUGGAAUGCUUUGUAACCCAAAGUUCCGACGCCUUAGGAUGGAUCUGCGGCCGAUUAGGUAGUUGUUGGGGUAACGGCCCAACAAGCCAGUAAUCGGUACGGGUUGUGGGAGCAAGAGCCCGGAGUUGGAUUCUGAGACACGAAUCCAGGCCCUACGGGGCGCAGCAGGCGCGAAAACUUUACAAUGCGGGCAACCGUGAUAAGGGAACCUCGAGUGCCUGUAUAUGCAGGCUGUCCAGGUGUCUAAAACACACCUGAAGAAAGGGCCGGGCAAGACCGGUGCCAGCCGCCGCGGUAAUACCGGCGGCUCGAGUGGUGGCCACUUUUAUUGGGCUUAAAGCGUUCGUAGCUGGGUUGUUAAGUCUCUUGGGAAAUCUACCGGCUCAACCGGUAGGCGUUCAGGAGAUACUGGCAAUCUAGGGACCGGGAGAGGUGAGAGGUACUCCAGGGGUAGGAGUGAAAUCCUGUAAUCCUUGGGGGACCACCUGUGGCGAAGGCGUCUCACUAGAACGGCUCCGACAGUGAGGGACGAAAGCUGGGGGAGCAAACCGGAUUAGAUACCCGGGUAGUCCCAGCUGUAAACGAUGCGCGUUAGGUGUAUCGGUGACCACGAGUCACCGAGGUGCCGAAGGGAAACCGUGAAACGUGCCGCCUGGGAAGUACGGUCGCAAGGCUGAAACUUAA
This 767-nucleotide ribosomal RNA is filed under the name uncultured Methanoculleus sp. Its description in RNAcentral is "bacterial SSU rRNA". It matches the Rfam family "Archaeal small subunit ribosomal RNA", at positions 86 to 859 of the family's 1478-position model. Lineage: Archaea; Methanobacteriati; Methanobacteriota; Methanomicrobia; Methanomicrobiales; Methanomicrobiaceae. The record is from RNAcentral.